Molecule: long non-coding RNA, 1478 nt
Filed under: Sus scrofa (pig)
Lineage: Eukaryota; Metazoa; Chordata; Mammalia; Artiodactyla; Suidae
Description: lncRNA (ENSSSCG00060028743.1)
Source: RNAcentral
AAGGAGAAGAGAGAAAGAAAGGGACAGGAAAAAAUAUUUGAAGAGAUAACAGACAAAAACUUCCCUAACAUGGGAAAAGAACCACUCACUCAAAUCCAGGAAGCACAAUGAGAACCAUAUAAAAUGAACCCAAGGAGGAACACCCCGAGACACAUAUUACUCAAACUGACCAAAAUUAAAGACAAAGAGAAAAUAUUGGAAGCAGCCAGGGAAAAAAAAAACAAAUAACAUACAAGGGAAGCCCAAUAAGGUUAUCAGCAGAUUUUUCAGCAGAAACUCUGCAGGCCAGAAGGGAGUGGCAUGAUAUACUUAACAUGAUGAAAGGGAAAAACCUCCAACCAAGAUUACUCUACCCAGCAAGGCUCUCAUUCAGAUUUGAAGGAGAAAUCAAAACCUUCACAGAUAAGCAAAAGCUGAGAGAAUUCAGCAAUGCUAAACCAGCCUUACAACAAAUACUAAAGGAACUUCUCUAGGCAGAAAAGAAAAGACAGCAACAGAAAGCAAAAACUCCACAAAUGACAAGGCUCACCAGUAAGGUAUAUAUACAGGAAAGAUACGAAAUCAUCCAUGCACAAUUAUACCACCAAAAUCCGAAAUCAUGAGAAGAGGUGGGUACAAGUGCAGGACACUGGAGAUGAACUUGCAAUUAAGAGACCAACAACUUAAAACAAUCUCAUAUACAUAUAGACUCUUAUAUCAAAACUUCAGAAUAACUGCAAACCAAAAAUCUACAAUUGAUACACAAACAAGGAAUCUCUGGAGAAGAAAUAUAUCUCAUAGUAAAUAAGUGCAUAAUCCACCAUGAAGGGGGUCAUUUGACAUCAUUCUUGGAAUGCUGAAGUCUUCUUAGAUCUGAUUCUGAUUUCCUCUCCAUCAAAGAAUUUAUGAUAAUUAUAAUUAAAUAAUGCAACUGUACAAUUAAAUAAUACAGUUCUACAAUUGUAUUAUUAAUAACCAUUUCUCUCCAUGGUACAAUGUAAAGUCUAUAAUGUCUUGUUUAUCACAUCACCUAGAAUGGUGUAAUGCCUAUAUUGAAGAAUCAAUAAGAUGUAACAAAUUGUGAGGACAUAUUUAUAUAGUUACACUGUUUUUUAACCAAUUUAUGCAUUUUAUAUUUUACUUAUUUUCAGAGGGUGUAUUAUUUUUGUUAUUCUUACCAGUUAAGUUAUUCUUUUUAUUAUGCUAUAUAAAAUAUUUAAUGGUAUAUAAGGCUUUCUUCUUUAUAAAUUUUAGUUGCAUAAUAUACACAAUUUUAAUAUAAUGCUAAUUUUUAAAGAAAAAUUGAAAUGUAAUAGAUAAUACUAAAUAGUAAAGAUGAAAGCCAUACAAAAUGGGAUAAAGUAUAGAAUAAAUUUCCUAUUUGUCUCAGCAUAUUUUCCAUUCCACUUCUCCAGAGGGAGUCACUUAAUCUGUUUCUUAAGAUCCAUGAUAUAAUAAUCUGUGUGAAUGUAAUUGUGUUUAAAUAUAUGUAUUUUAUU